GGGGGUAGCUCAGUGGUAGAGCGUCUGCUUCCCAAGCAGGAUGUCGCGGGUUCGAUCCCCGUCCCCC
Molecule: transfer RNA, 67 nt
Filed under: marine eukaryotic metagenome
Rfam family: tRNA
About the family: Transfer RNA (tRNA) molecules are approximately 80 nucleotides in length.
Source: RNAcentral